AUGCCGACGUCGGGCAACGACGCCGGCGCCUGCGACGGUGACGGCUCGCCGCACGGGGUCAAGAAGAUGUGGACCAAGGAGGAGGACGACCUGCUGCGGGAGCAGGUGCGGCGCUGCGGCGGCCCGCACAACUGGGACUCCAUCUGCCGAGGGCUGCCCGGCCGCAACUCCAAGUCGUGCCGCCUCCGCUGGUGCCAGCACCUCGACCCCAGGGUGGAGGCCGUCAAGCCCUUCACCAUCCAGGAGGACAUGCUCAUCGUCAAGUACCAGGCCACCUACGGCAACCGCUGGUCCACCAUCGCCGAUUUCCUCUCCGGCCGCACCGACAAUGCCGUCAAGAAUCGCUGGAACUCUGUCCUCCGCAAGCGCCAGGAGCACGCCCCCUCCCAACAGGGCCAGACGCGCCCGUGGGCUCCUUCCGCUGCCCGACAGGCCGCGGGCCCCGAGGUCACGCCGCGGUGCCUGCCGCUGUUCCCUGGUUCGGCCGAGGAGGUGUGGGAGGCUGACACAUCUGCGGCGGCGAGGAAGUGCCUCGACCUGUUCCCUCUGGCGCCCGGGGAUAUCAGGGCCGAUGUGGAUGCAGCGGCGCCGCCCAGUGACAUGGCUUGCGGAGCAGGCGACCCGCUCACCGAGCUGAGGCUCUGGCCGGCGCCGAGAGUGGUGUUCGACGUAAUGCCGCUCCAGGCUUACCGGAUGUAG
RNAcentral lists this ribosomal RNA (699 nucleotides) under Triticum aestivum (bread wheat). RNAcentral's name for it is "partial small subunit ribosomal RNA". Lineage: Eukaryota; Viridiplantae; Streptophyta; Magnoliopsida; Poales; Poaceae. The record is from RNAcentral.